Halichondria panicea is the source of this 941-nucleotide long non-coding RNA. RefSeq lists it as uncharacterized. NCBI's taxonomy places the organism in Eukaryota, Metazoa, Porifera, Demospongiae, Suberitida, Halichondriidae. The transcript has 3 exons. The record is from RefSeq and is a predicted model, not a curated record.
GUAUACAUUUGGUACAGGUGCUUGAGGGUGAGUUCAGCCUGGCAGACCACAACGUCAACUAUGCCUUAGGCACUAUAGCAUAGCCCACUGGCCCGAGAGUGGUAGUGGUCUCGUUGCUAGAGACCUCAACGAUCAAGGCUCAGAGGUGGUGACCGGUGGUAGCACUCUCCUUCACAACGUACCAGUACUGGGGUUCUAUCAGACACCCUCAGAGGGUGGUGGUCGUAUCGUUGUGUACGGGGACUCUAACUGUCUGGAUAGUGCCCACCUUAAAAGGGACUGUUUUUGGCUCCUCAACUCUCUACUCAAGUACGCAGCCACUCCCAAUGCACAGCCACCCUUCACUCCCAGUCAGAAGAUCAGAUUGCCUCCCCUUGGGCUGCCAAAGAGGAUGGAAGGUAAUCGUCUUCACCACUACUCAAGAGUACUCGAUCUAAAUGACCCCACCCACACUCGACCUUUGCCCUCUUGUCCACAAUUUAAAUAGGCCAUUCCGAAACCAUUAAAUUCGUCUAAUCUUGGGAAAAUAUUCCGUCCUAAAAAUCCAUUAUCGGCCACUGAAAAAGGCUCAAUCAGUCCAAACCGAAACUUAAAGUCUAUGGGACAUGUGAUUCCAUUUGAUGAGUACCAAGAUCGAUCUCCUAGUCUGGGAAUUGUGGGUGUGUCCCUCGUUGUGUUGUGGUACAUGUGUAGACGACAUCGAAAAAGACCCCGAAGUCGAAGAUCAUUAUUUGCAAUCAAAAUGUGAAUUUUCUGCAUGAGGAUUGAAUUUUUCUACCGACCGUCUGAUGUAAAGAUGCUAUGGGACAUUGAGGCUCUACUUCUGUAAGUGCUGACCAACUAACUAUAAUAUACUAUGAAUACAAGCUAGUAAUUAUUAUACAAUCAUGUGCAUGUAUUAUACGUACUUAAUUAACCAUUAUUUAUGAUGCUCAUAAUUA